This is a non-coding RNA of Neolamprologus brichardi, 730 nucleotides long. NCBI's taxonomy places the organism in Eukaryota, Metazoa, Chordata, Actinopteri, Cichliformes, Cichlidae. The record is from RefSeq and is a predicted model, not a curated record.
CAUUCAAACUCAUUCACAUUAAUCUAACAUGCAUGUCUUUGGACUGUGGGUGGAAGCCCAGAGCAUGCAAAUCCACACAAAAGGUCCCCGGCCAGCUUACAGCCUUAGCUAAAUGCCUGAGAUUACCAUAUUAUGGAUAUCCACAGCAACAGUAAUGUAUGCCACAGAUACAAAAAUCAUAAAAGCUCGCCUUUAACUUUCCACAAAACUGUUCUCAUCCGUCUCAGCUGUAUUUCCCACCACAUUAACAGUGUUAAAGAGUAAAAAAGCUGAAACUGAGCAGCCUGAAGUCUGACAUUUUGGCUCAUGAAUAAUGACCUCUGACAAUUCCUCUUUAAUACUUGAUAUCCACUGACCAGCAUGAUCAUGAAAAUACACUUUAGGUUGCAUGAUGUUCACAAGCUUCCAAUGUAUAUAUUGUAGAGUAAAUCAUGGAGAGGUUUAUUUGUUUUUCUGUAACGUAACUUGCAUUUUAAUCAUGAGUUAAUGUAAUGUAUCCCCAGGGCCUGUUGGCUUCCAAAGCAACAACAUUGGCUUCAGAGCCGGCAUGUUCACGUCUAUCGAGCCUGGAUAUUAUAAGGAGAAUGACUUUGGGAUCCGGAUCGAAGAUGUCGCAGUGGUCGUACCAGUUCAGACAAAGUAUGGAAAUAACUACCUGACCUUUGACACUGUAUCACUGGUUCCAUAUGACAGAAAGCUGAUUGACAUGUCACUGCUCAGCUCAGAGCAG